Molecule: ribosomal RNA, 1343 nt
Filed under: uncultured bacterium
Lineage: Bacteria
Description: 16S ribosomal RNA
Rfam family: Bacterial small subunit ribosomal RNA
Source: RNAcentral
GACGAACGCUGGCGGCGUGCUUAACACAUGCAAGUCGAACGGAAAGGCCCUGCUUUUGUGGGGUGCUCGAGUGGCGAACGGGUGAGUAACACGUGAGUAACCUGCCCUUGACUUUGGGAUAACUUCAGGAAACUGGGGCUAAUACCGGAUAGGAGCUCCUGCUGCAUGGUGGGGGUUGGAAAGUUUCGGCGGUUGGGGAUGGACUCGCGGCUUAUCAGCUUGUUGGUGGGGUAGUGGCUUACCAAGGCUUUGACGGGUAGCCGGCCUGAGAGGGUGACCGGCCACAUUGGGACUGAGAUACGGCCCAGACUCCUACGGGAGGCAGCAGUGGGGAAUAUUGCACAAUGGGCGGAAGCCUGAUGCAGCAACGCCGCGUGCGGGAUGACGGCCUUCGGGUUGUAAACCGCUUUCGCCUGUGACGAAGCGUGAGUGACGGUAAUGGGUAAAGAAGCACCGGCUAACUACGUGCCAGCAGCCGCGGUGAUACGUAGGGUGCGAGCGUUGUCCGGAUUUAUUGGGCGUAAAGGGCUCGUAGGUGGUUGAUCGCGUCGGAAGUGUAAUCUUGGGGCUUAACCCUGAGCGUGCUUUCGAUACGGGUUGACUUGAGGAAGGUAGGGGAGAAUGGAAUUCCUGGUGGAGCGGUGGAAUGCGCAGACAUCAGGAGGAACACCAGUGGCGAAGGCGGUUCUCUGGGCCUUUCCUGACGCUGAGGAGCGAAAGCGUGGGGAGCGAACAGGCUUAGAUACCCUGGUAGUCCACGCUGUAAACGGUGGGUACUAGGUGUGGGGUCCAUUCCACGGGUUCCGUGCCGUAGCUAACGCUUUAAGUACCCCGCCUGGGGAGUACGGCCGCAAGGCUAAAACUCAAAGGAAUUGACGGGGCCCCGCACAAGCGGCGGAGCAUGCGGAUUAAUUCGAUGCAACGCGUAGAACCUUACCUGGGUUUGACAUGGAUCGGGAGUGCUCAGAGAUGGGUGUGCCUCUUUUGGGGUCGGUUCACAGGUGGUGCAUGGCUGUCGUCAGCUCGUGUCGUGAGAUGUUGGGUUAAGUCCCGCAACGAGCGCAACCCUUGUUCACUGUUGCCAGCACGUUAUGGUGGGGACUCAGUGGAGACCGCCGGGGUCAACUCGGAGGAAGGUGGGGAUGACGUCAAGUCAUCAUGCCCCUUAUGUCCAGGGCUUCACGCAUGCUACAAUGGCUGGUACAGAGAGUGGCGAGCCUGUGAGGGUGAGCGAAUCUCGGAAAGCCGGUCUCAGUUCGGAUUGGGGUCUGCAACUCGACCUCAUGAAGUCGGAGUCGCUAGUAAUCGCAGAUCAGCAACGCUGCGGUGAAUACGUUCCCGGG